AAUACCUCAGUCUUAUCAGGUGUUCUAUACAUUUACCUGGAAAUACUGAGGUUGAGU
Molecule: microRNA precursor, 57 nt
Filed under: Sphenodon punctatus (tuatara)
Lineage: Eukaryota; Metazoa; Chordata; Lepidosauria; Sphenodontia; Sphenodontidae
Description: Spt-Mir-875_pre stem-loop
Source: RNAcentral